This 942-nucleotide ribosomal RNA is filed under the name Triticum aestivum (bread wheat). Its description in RNAcentral is "partial small subunit ribosomal RNA". The record is from RNAcentral. Lineage: Eukaryota; Viridiplantae; Streptophyta; Magnoliopsida; Poales; Poaceae.
AUGUCCGGAGCAGGAGGCAAGUGGAUGGUCUCCUCCGUUACGGAGGAGAACAUCACAAAGCUGCGGGGAGCCGGAUAUCUGGCCGCGGAUAUCGCGCACCGGCUGCCAGAUGCGGGGCAGAUCAUCCCUACUCCAAAACCCCAUGAGAGGGUGGUUUUCCUUACCCACUUCGUCCGCGGACUGGGAUUUCCCCGCCACCCGUUUGUCCGCGGGCUCAUGUUCUACUACGGGCUGGACUUUCACGAUCUGGCCCCCAAUUUCAUCCUCAACAUCUUGGUGUUUAUCGUCGUGUGCGAGGCCUUCCUCCGCAUCAAGCCCCACUUCGGCCUGUGGCUGAAGACCUUCAAUGUUAAACCGAUGGUGGUGGUCGGCCAACAAGCAGAGUGCGGAGGCGCCAUGGUGGGCAAAAUGCCCAACGUCACCUGGCUCGAAGGCUCCUAUGUGGAUACCAUAAAGGGGUGGCAAUCAGGGCGGUUCUACAUCACCGAGCCGCGCGACACCAACUGGGUGGCGGCCCCCGAAUUUCGAUCCGGAAUCCCCAUGCGGCUCACCUCCUGGAAAGAGAAGGGCCUGUCCUGGGGUUCCCCGGUAGAGCUGACAGGACUCCAGACAUGCAUCAAAAACAUGAUGAGCAAGAAAAUCAAGCUCGUCAACGUGGUCCAAGUCAUGCUCUUCCGCCGGAUCCUCCCGUGUCAAAGACGGGCAUUCAAUUUGUGGGAGUUCGACCCGGCCGAGCACCAGACGUUGCGAGAGCUCUCUGACACGACGCACAAGGACGUCUGGAAGGUGUUGUUCAAGGGCGCCGAGGUACCUCCUCCCCUCACCAAGGACCGUGGACUUAGCACAAAGCGUCCUGCCAACCCGGUAAGUCUUUUACAUCUCAUAAGAUGCUCUUUUCCCCAGUAUAACCACGCGCGGGAUCUAAGCCUCCAUGCCAUUUAA